RNAcentral lists this long non-coding RNA (225 nucleotides) under Medicago truncatula (barrel medic). Its description in RNAcentral is "long non-coding RNA (MTRU_LNC000052)". The record is from RNAcentral. Lineage: Eukaryota; Viridiplantae; Streptophyta; Magnoliopsida; Fabales; Fabaceae.
CUUAAAUGCAAUUUUACCCUCCUAUUUUGAUUGAAUCUGAAUUUUACCCCCCUUAUUUUAAAACUCGGAAUUUUACCCCCUCUAUUUUGAUUGAAUCGGAAUUUUGCCCCCCUUAUUUUAAAACUCGGAAUUUUACCCCCUCUAUUUUACGUUUUUCAGAAUUUUACCCCCUAUUUUAAAAUAAAGAACCAAAAAAUACUAGAAAAAUAAAGAAACGAUUAUAAA